Non-coding RNA from Camellia sinensis, 1882 nucleotides. The record is from RefSeq and is a predicted model, not a curated record. Lineage: Eukaryota; Viridiplantae; Streptophyta; Magnoliopsida; Ericales; Theaceae.
GAGAUUUUGAACCCUAACCCCUCUUCAAAGAUGCGAAUAAAGAGGCGACGAACAGAGAUUGGAAGAGGCCUUUGGGGGGAUAAAGAAUCCCAGAGUGAAGACUUUUUGUGCAAAGACUAGGAAAGUAGAGGAAGAGAAAUUGAGCUCAUCACCUUGUUUGAGUGUGCUGAUGAUGAUGAAGCAAGAGAGGCCAAGAAAAUUGGAAAGAAAAUUCUGAUGACGACCAUGAAAUUUUCCUUGGCAAAGGCAGCCAUACUCAGCAAGUGCAACACAUUGAUGCUGUCUACAUCGCCCUCUAUGUUCGUCUCUCAUCGCCUCCCCUCGCCUCACCGCCGUCUCUCCUCGCCUAAAGGCCUCUUCCAAUCUCCAGAGGCAAAAAAAAAAAAAUAAAAAAAAAACUUUUUCUUGAAACAUAAAAAGAAGAAGAAAGGGGGCUUUUAUUGUGGAUUUAUUGGGUUAGAUUUGUUGUGGAUUUAUUGGGCCUUUGUCUGUGCAACUUAGGGGAGAGUUUUCAAGUUCCCUAAGUUCGGCAAUUUGUAUUGAAAACAUAUCUUGCUUUAUGGAAAUGCUGAUAACCAGGAUUUUGUGCUGAUUGUCCCAAUAUGCAAUAGUCAAUAGCAAAUAAAUUUUAUUGUGAUUUGGUUGUGGUUAUUUUUUUUUUUCUUUUUUCUUUCUUUUCAUCUCUUCAAUUGUAGUUCAUCACUCUAUUAUACCAUAAAAUCUGUUGUCACUACUUAGUGCUCCGUUUGUUCUUUUUACUUAUAUUGGUAAAUUCAAUUGCAUGACUCUUUUGCUUGUUGUUUCCCUCCGAAGAACCCUACAUAGUAUGCUUAAGCUUGUUGUGGAAGUUGAUGAAUCAAUGACUCUAAGACAAAUAAUUUCCUCGUGCAUCAAAUAAAGAUCAAACUAUCCGAAAAAAGUGAAGAAAUUCACACUUGAUGGAGCAGAGCCAAGGGAAAGUUAAGUCAAUGAACCCAAAGAUAAUCAAUUAGAUUGACACCCAUUAAUGGAUAAAAGAUGAGAUUAUAUAUGUUGUAUAAGUAUUUCUACUUUUUUAUAUGAUUGCCAUUACUUAUUGUUUUUAUGGUAUGCUGCAGCUAGUGGAACACAACAAUGUUGUUGAUGAGUUGGACAGCUACGAUUGAAAGCAGAAACUGGGGAUGCCAUUUGAUUUAGAACAAGACAAUGCCAUUUUGUUUCCUUGUUUUGGUGUUGAAUGGUAUUCAUGGAUGAAAUUUUAUUUUCUUAGUUGUUAGCCAUGAUCAUACUGAAAUUUGUUUGAUUAAGUUGUGGCAGUGAUCAAUUUUGUUAUUCUCGUGUUUGGCAAAUGUAGAAGUUGCUGAAAAUUAUUUGUCUUGGUAAUGCUAAUAAAUGAAAUUAAUGUUUUCAUUCCAAAUGGAUUAUUGUAUUUGUCAUUUGUUAAUGUUAGAACUCAAUUGUCAGUUAAAUGAAUACACUAUUUCCAGUUGAAUGGAUACAGUUUGCCAAUAUAUGGUUUGUUGCCUGUUUAAAUGAGAGAAAAAAAAGAGUUGGUUGCUUCAAAGGACCACAUAUCAUUUUAUUCAAUCAACAUUGUCAUUGCAAAUGUUAAUCUAACUAUAACAUUCAUAUUAAUUAUAAUACAUCAUUCAUUUUGAUUCAAUUUGAUUGUGAUCAAUCCAGGAGGAGAUCAAGUAAACCAAACCCACCCAUGAUUGGGAAGAGAUCAACGAAUCCACUUGAAUCAUACACCCCAUGCUUUCUAUCGAAUUCCCUACUUGUACAAAUUCAAAACAAAAUGUGCAACAGUCUAGGCCAACCCCAAACCAACAAAGUUAUCAUCAAGAUCACUAGCAUUCAGAACAAAAACAAAAAAGAAACAACCAAUCAUUAAAAAAAAAAU